Puntigrus tetrazona (Sumatra barb) is the source of this 605-nucleotide long non-coding RNA. RefSeq lists it as uncharacterized. The record is from RefSeq and is a predicted model, not a curated record. Lineage: Eukaryota; Metazoa; Chordata; Actinopteri; Cypriniformes; Cyprinidae. The transcript is spliced from 5 exons.
CAUGUUUUAGCGGUUAUUUUUUUUACGAGAACGCUCGCAUUCGCUCACGCUUCAGAGAGUGAUGACUUUGUGAAUGCAGCUUAAAAAACUGUUUAAUGCAGUGCUCUGUCAGAUGCAUUGCAGUCAAAAGAGACAAUGGGUUUUCAGACGACAACCGGUCAAAGAACGUACAGUACACACACAAGGACAUAAGAAUGUAAAAGACUGGGUGUGUGAUACGAGACAGAGCGGAUGAGAUCGACUGAAUAGAUUGGCUAUGUUUGGAAAGAUGGUUGGAUGAUGGCUGCGACGAUAAGCAGAGCUUUGCAGGUGAAGGGUGACUGAACGUGACGAUCUCUGCACGCGUGUAAUGCUUCUCAGCUGUCUGUCACACCGCGAGCAUAUGAUGUCACAACCUUGUCCAGCUUUUCCUGGGCCUGAAACUAAAUGGAAAAGCAAACACCUGUAGGUGUAACAUCCCCUCUCACGCAAUGUCGGACGGGCUGCAGGAGAGCACGGUCAGUACUGGGAUGCAUGCAUAUGACAGUUGGGCCUGGUAUUUGACACAUCAGUGAAGUGUGGCUGUAAACGGUAACAACAUUGCCUUGCUGAAGCCUCAGUCUUCC